UACGUAGGCAGCAAGCGUUGUUCGGAGUUACUGGGCGUAAAGAGUGCGUAGGUGGUGCCCUAAGUCUGUUGUGAAAUCUCCCGGCUUAACUGGGAGGGUGCGGUGGAAACUGGGGUGCUUGAGUGUGGGAGAGGUAAGCGGAAUUCCUGGUGUAGCGGUGAAAUGCGUAGAUAUCAGGAGGAACACCGGUGGUGUAGACGGCUUACUGGACCACGACUGACACUGGGGCACGAAAGCGUGGGUAGCAAACAGG
This 253-nucleotide ribosomal RNA is filed under the name uncultured bacterium. RNAcentral describes it as "partial 16S ribosomal RNA". It matches the Rfam family "Bacterial small subunit ribosomal RNA", at positions 524 to 776 of the family's 1533-position model. The record is from RNAcentral.